This 519-nucleotide ribosomal RNA is filed under the name Mammaliicoccus vitulinus. RNAcentral's name for it is "bacterial SSU rRNA". It matches the Rfam family "Bacterial small subunit ribosomal RNA", at positions 1 to 505 of the family's 1533-position model. Lineage: Bacteria; Bacillati; Bacillota; Bacilli; Caryophanales; Staphylococcaceae. The record is from RNAcentral.
UAGAGUUUUUGAUCCUGGCUCAGGAUGAACGCUGGCGGCGUGCCUAAUACAUGCAAGUCGAGCGAACAGAUGAGAAGCUUGCUUCUCUGAUGUUAGCGGCGGACGGGUGAGUAACACGUGGGUAACCUACCUAUAAGACUGGGAUAACUCCGGGAAACCGGGGCUAAUACCUGAUAAUAUUUUGAACCGCAUGGUUCAAUAGUGAAAGACGGCUUCGGCUGUCACUUAUAGAUGGACCCGCGCCGUAUUAGCUAGUUGGUAAGGUAAUGGCUUACCAAGGCAACGAUACGUAGCCGACCUGAGAGGGUGAUCGGCCACACUGGAACUGAGACACGGUCCAGACUCCUACGGGAGGCAGCAGUAGGGAAUCUUCCGCAAUGGGCGAAAGCCUGACGGAGCAACGCCGCGUGAGUGAUGAAGGUCUUAGGAUCGUAAAACUCUGUUGUUAGGGAAGAACAAAUUUGUUAGUAACUGAACAAGUCUUGACGGUACCUAACCAGAAAGCCNCGGCUAACNAAC